Molecule: ribosomal RNA, 407 nt
Filed under: Xenylla tullbergi
Lineage: Eukaryota; Metazoa; Arthropoda; Collembola; Poduromorpha; Hypogastruridae
Description: partial 28S ribosomal RNA
Source: RNAcentral
CCUCUCGGGGGUAAGCGGGCAGAACUUGGAAGUAUUUGGUAAGAGAUUCAGACUUGGACUUGAUAGUUGUGAGAUUAAUGUUAGAUUGUUCUUUUGGGAACUGAUCAAUUUGAUUUCUCUAUUCUAUUGAGGAUACGUCGCAUUUCUCUUAUCAUUCGGGUUGUAUGCAACUAAAUUUUGAUGAGUCGUAGAGUGCUGCUGAUAUACUGUGGGUUAGCUAGUUAUCGACUACGAUUGUGGUUGUUAUAAAAGCGAACAAGAGCUUGUCUCGGUCAAUUAUUCUUACGAGUCGUGUGUGUAGUAUGUAUGGACGGGUAACCGUAGUAUGUAUUAUAUACUGGUUGUCAGUNAGAGUAACAUUUGGCAUUGUUCAGUAUUACAAUCUAANGCAUGCGUGGUCUGCCUGU